RNAcentral lists this transfer RNA (119 nucleotides) under Candidatus Woesearchaeota archaeon. RNAcentral describes it as "tRNA-Gly". The record is from RNAcentral. Lineage: Archaea; Nanobdellati; Candidatus Woesearchaeota.
ACGGCUGUGGUCUAGUGGUAUGAUCGGAGCUUCCCAAGCUCUUGGUCCGGGUUCGAUUAUGUGUAAAGUGUGUAGCCUCGCAUGUCACUGCUUUCGCAUCGCAAGUCCCGGCAGCCGUA